Molecule: transfer RNA, 73 nt
Filed under: Alligator mississippiensis (American alligator)
Lineage: Eukaryota; Metazoa; Chordata; Crocodylia; Alligatoridae
Description: tRNA-Lys (CTT) (tRNA-Lys-CTT-6-1)
Rfam family: tRNA
About the family: Transfer RNA (tRNA) molecules are approximately 80 nucleotides in length. Their secondary structure includes four short double-helical elements and three loops (D, anti-codon, and T loops).
Source: Rfam by way of RNAcentral
GCCUGGCUAGCUCAGUCAGUAGAGCUUGAGACUCUUAAUCUCAGGGUCGUGGGUUUGAGCCCCACAUCGGGUG